AGCUCCAAUAGGAUAUAUCAAAGUUGUUGCAGUUGAAAAGCUCGUAGUCGAGUGUGCGGGGGCUUCACGGCGAUUGAAUGCAUAUUCAGUCCCAACGCAAACCCCCCUUUCGCCACUGAGAGUAAACUGGGGUGCUCAAAGCAGGCUUUCAUAGCUUUGAACAUUGUAGCUUGGGAUGGCGGGAUCUCGUUGUAGAGUCUCGUUAGGGUUGGCUGUGUUUAUAACACAAUUUCGUAUUGUUAGUCAAACAGGAACAGUUGCGGGGGUACUCGUACUGGAAAGUCAGAGGUGAAAUUCUUGGAUUUUUUCACGACGAACGACUGCGAAAGCAUUUACCAAGGAUGUUUUCA
This 350-nucleotide ribosomal RNA is filed under the name uncultured eukaryote. RNAcentral describes it as "SSU rRNA". It matches the Rfam family "Eukaryotic small subunit ribosomal RNA", at positions 587 to 972 of the family's 1831-position model. The record is from RNAcentral.